GUGGUGGCUGGGGGUGUUGAUACCCGCAGGCAGUCCUCGGUUGCCCAGGAAACAGAUGGCGGAUGAAGGGCGGACAUACAAAAGAGCACAAACCUGUAGCAGCAGCUGGGGAGCGGCUCCACUGACUUAUUCAUGUCGACGCAGCCUCUCGCAGCCAAGACGGUCUUUUGUUUCGGGACUUAUCCACAUUAUCCAGUGCUCCUAACUGGGUUGUGCGCAGCUGCUCCCGGCACUCCCACUUGAGCUUGCAGCAGCUCUGCAGCUGAACACUAUGUAGGAGCGACCAUCUCGCUCUUUUACUGCAGGAAACAACAUGGUGCCUGUUUGUCAUGUUGGCUGCUUUAGUGAGAGAUCUAAUACAAUCACGCCGACGUUGUGGGAGAUGUGCAACCUGCAGAUGACUGGAAGUAGUGUGCUGGGAUUUACUGGAUUCAACCUCAAGGACUGUCCACCUGACACCAAUUCAGGCCACUGGAACAGCAGCUGGACAGGUUAUGUGCUCAAGACUAUAUUUUCUAAUUACACCCAAGAGAGGGGCUCUUUUGAUAUUGUGCAAUAUUUGUUUAUUCAAAUCAAUGUGAAAUAUUU
Long non-coding RNA from Syngnathus acus (greater pipefish), 588 nucleotides. RefSeq lists it as uncharacterized. Lineage: Eukaryota; Metazoa; Chordata; Actinopteri; Syngnathiformes; Syngnathidae. The transcript is spliced from 2 exons. The record is from RefSeq and is a predicted model, not a curated record.